GGCUUCUUUUUGCUCUGAGGUUCCGGUCGCGCACGGGUCGAGCCGCGGGGUGUGAGCCGCGCGGGCCGCCGUAGUCAGCUGCUGCAAGCAGGAAGUGUCCGAGAAGCAGGCGGAGAUUGCACCAUGGCCCCGGACCCCUGGUUCUCCACGUACGAUUCUACCUGCCAAAUUGCACAAGAGAUUGCUGAGAAAAUUCAACAACGGAAUCAGUAUGAAAGAAAUGGUGAAAAUACAACCAAGCUUACGGUGACAAUCAGAGCUUUGUUGCAGAAACUGAAGGAAAAGAUCGCCCUUUUGAAGGACUUAUUGCUAAGAGCUGUGUCAACACAUCAGAUAACGCAGCUCGAAGGAGACCGAAGACAGAACCUAUUGGACGAUCUUGUAACUCGAGAGAGACUCCUUCUGGCCUCCUUUAAGAAGGAGGGCGCAGAGCCGGAACCCAUCAGGUCCAGCCUGAUGACAGGAGGGGCCAAGCGGGCAGUACCCAACCCUUGGCUCUUCGAGGAGCCGGAGGAGACCAGAGGCUUGGGCUUUGACGAAAUCCGGCAACAGCAGCAGAAAAUCAUCCAAGAACAGGAUGCAGGCCUGGAUGCCCUUUCCUCGAUCAUAAGUCGCCAGAAACAAAUGGGGCAGGAAAUUGGGAAUGAACUGGAUGAACAAAACGGUGAGGCCAUAAAAAGAAGAGGGAAUGAAGACGUGGACACACAUGCAGGGAAGACGGUGUGAGGACACAGCAAGAGGGCGGCUGUCAGCAAGUCACGGAGAGGGGGCCUCCGAGAAAGCAGUUCUGCCGACACCUUGAUCUCAUACUUCUGGCCUCCAGGAUUGUGAGAAAAUAAAUGUCACUGAAGUCACCUGAUCUUGGUACUUGGAGGCAGGUCCACGAGUCAAGGACCAGGUUGAGCAGUGUAGGUGGCUUGCUUGGUAUGUCAGUGGGUUUGUUUACCCCCAAGUCGUCUUUCUGGGAUGGAGUCUGUAUGGACGGGCAGGUGUACCGGCAGGCAGCUUUCCCCUUAGGGUGUGUGGCUGGGGUAGAAGAGGACACUGCAGACUCAGGACCCUUGGCUGCAAGCCUCACCCCAAAAUCACGAAGGGAAAGAGAACUGUAACCUCGGGGUGACAUCUUUUUAGAGGCUUUAUUUCUUUUCACCUCUGGGCCUGUCCCAGAGGCUCUUCUUGGACUCACUUGUGCCAAGCACUCCCCAGGCUGACCUUCCUCUGAAGAAGCUCUUCGGGGGCCUCCAGCUGGGAGCCGGUGCUGCCGACCCCAGUGUCCACUGGGCAAGCGCGAGGGCCAGGCGCUCAGCUGCUCUCGAGACAGCUCUCCGCGCAGAUGCCCUGCCUCCUGCCUCCCAGCCUCUUCUCUGUAGGCCAUUCUUUGGCUCCCAAGGGCCAUUGACUCCAGGCUUGGAGCUUCUCCAGGGUUCCACCGGGAAGAAAGAGCUCCUAUCUGUAGCUCUGAUCAUGUAUUUUAAGUUGCAGUUUUUCUUUUCAGUUUUGGUUUAUUUGUCAGUACAGUCCCAACUAUCUUUUUUUAAAUUUUUUUUUAGAUAAAGAAAACCUUUCACAUGACUUGCUCAUUGAUGGUGUUUCAUUGAUAGUGUUCCUUCGUGUUUCAGGGCCUCCAUGGAUUUAUUCUUUCAAACACAAUUUUACUGGCCUUUCAUUGAGCUCUCAGGAAGGAAGGGGGCAGCCGUGUAUACUUGCUCUACUGUCCUGAGCUCAAAGUCUCUCUUUAUAUUUCUUAACGAGGUCUCAGCAUCUAUAGACAUCAUUUUCCUGAAGCAGUCAGUGUUCUGGAAGCUUCAGUCAAACAAGUUUUUCAUCUAGUCCAGGAAGGUUGUUUUCUAGGGCUUCAUUAAUUUGAGGGAUGCCCCCAAGGUAACAUCCGAUGUGUUUACAGAUGACUUUGCCUGAAGGUAAGACAAUGAGAGAGGUUUGGAAGAAGGUGAUGCUUUUCCUGGACCUUAGGGGAUUGAAUACUCCGUGAAUGUGAAAUCAGGCCCUGUUCAGAGUGUUCAUUAUUCAUUUCUAGGCAGGGCCUGGUUUAUAGUGAAGGGGCUAGUCGGGGGGAGAGAGGGAGCGAGCGAGCGCGUGAGAGCAAGUAUGUCGUCCCCGCAAUUGUCCGGCACCAACUGGGCGUCCAGUGAUUGAAUUCCACUUCGACACUGUUGACGCUGCUGAGGGCGUCAGGGUUCUGACCCCGGGACUGCCCUCACUUCCGAUUCCCGCCGGAAGUCCUGAGGAGGCGGAAGCCCUUCUGCUCCAUCAGCUACAAAUGCAGUGUUCCCCUGACCCCACCCCCGCCCCCCACUUCGGGAUCAGGAAAGCCAGUGGAAGGGGUGCAGAGGGCAGCGUCUUGGGGUGGGGGGCCCGCAAGCUUCCAUGACCUCUGCAGGCACAUCAGCCUCCUGGAGCCUCCGUGUCUGCACCAGUCCAGAAGCUCCCUGAACCUCGUUGUUCAAGAGUUGUCUUCGAGGCUUUGCCAAAACAGGAGAGAUGGGUGAAACCUUGGGCCGCCUGAAGAACCCAGACUCUGCGUGUGCCGGCUCUGCAGAAAAGAUCCUCGGACACAAGCAUCUGCCUUCACUGGCUUCACCCCUGUGGGAGAACUGGGUCGGGCCCGAUUCAGGUCCCAAGGACGUCCUUGGCCCUCUGCUCUGGGAACUCCUUCACCCCUUUCUUCUAAGGCAGUGUCUCGAUCUUUACCCUGGCCCCCAAGCUCGUCUGGGAGGUCAUCGGAUGAGAGAGAGGGUUUUCCAAAGGGAAAGCUGUGGACACAGUUGUCAGGGAAAAGGCCAUCGAUCCUCAGGCCCUCGGGCAGCGGGCCCCGCUCCCCAGGCUUCCUUGCCCCGGCUUCACCGCAGUUCCCAGCCGACUGCCAAGGGGAGGUUGUCAGGCCGACGGCAGCAGCCGGAGUGGAGGAUGGAGGACAGAAAAGCCAGCACGAGAGCCCGACGAGAAUCUCCCCGGGAGGGACGGAGCGGCCGCAGAUGCAGGAGCCCGUCACCCCGGAGCGCUGCCUUCCGCCACGUUGACCCAGGGGUGACGCUGCUUGUCUUCCUCGGUGCCUUUGCAGGAAGGGGCAGUCGGGAGCUCUCCCUGGAGGUCAUGCCGGGGGUCUCCAGAACCACCCCCAGGUUUGGUGCUUUGCUAGAAGGACUCCCGGGAGCCAGCAGCCACCUGGCCACCGAUGGGCAUUUCUGUGCACCCCUCAGGACUCCCCGUGCUUUUGCAGUUGUUCACCUGUAAAGAGAUGCACACUCUGAGGUCCUCCAAGAGCACCUGCCAAGCCAAGGUCAAACCAGGCAACAGGCUGCCGUGCUGUGUUCAUUCACACACAGAGGUGGCCAAAGGAUGGGGACUCCAGCGCAGGGGCCUGUCGGACAGGGUUUGAACCCCAACCCUGGCCCCUGGUAGGGGGGACAGCCUCGGGCAAGUCCUGAACGCUUCUGGACCACCUCUUCUCUUUUGAAAAAUAGACACAUGCUUCCAGGAUACCCGGAUGAGUUGUUUCGGAUUUAAGAUAUAAUCCGUGGUGUGUGUGUGUGUGCAUUUAUAUGCAUAUACAUUUCUUUUAGAAACAGUGAUUCUAUAUUUGCAAAUUCUGUGUUCACGGUGACUUUAUAGAACAGACGUACCAGGAAUAAGAAGAUUCGACUCUCGUUGGACUCACGGUGAUUAGGAGUGAUUUCAGUGAGAGCCCAAAGCACAAUUAGGGAAAAGGCAGGGGGACGUCCAGGGGGCCUCUCCCAAGGGCCAGAGCCACGCCAGAUGUGCUAACAGCCCCCAACUGCUAUUGGGACACCACCUACGAGGUGUUGCCAACCAGGAGAGCCUCAGGGCCCAGCGCUUUUCUGAGGGACUGGUCACGAAGGCACCCUCUGCCUGGCACAUUCGCAGAUUCCAGAAGGAAAGCAGGCUUUCUGCACGAGCCCUACCUUUCCUGCAGUUGAGGACCAGCAAGCGGUGGGAACCUUCCCCAAAAGUUCCCCGACGGCAGCCGACGAUGGAAGCACAACUUUUCCAGGAAAAGCACCCAGGCCUGGGGGGUUGACUCUCUGCGCGGAGGCCUCUCCAGCCCGGUUUAUCCUACGGCUCCACUUCUCUGUGAUGGGAGGGUCUACGGCUGACUGAGGAUGCUGCGUCCCAGCAGCGAGGAGACCUGUACCCCUCAGAAGGGAAGGGGGGCAGAGAGGAGGUGGAAGCCGCCGGGACCCAGCCCCACUCCGCUCCUCGUCUCACCCAGAGCAUGUCAUCGCCGACCUUCCGCUGAGCUUGGCCUCCCUGCAGGAGCUCGGAGGACGUGCGCUGUUCAAAGUGGCACUUGCUCCGCAUCUGGGGUGGUGAAAAGGAUUGAAGCGCUUGGGUCAUAAAAACCAAAGCAGCAGGAAGGAAGUGGUCUGAUUAGAACCAAGUGCGGGGCGGGGGCAGUGGGGGGGAGCCCCAGUUGCUGAGCGGUGCUCUCAGGUGGCUCAGGGUCCUUAAAGGAGCCGGAGCACAGAGGUGGCAGGGCUGGACUGUGUCUGGAGGCGGCAGGGGGGAACACGAUGUUGUCUUUCCAUCUGGAUGGUCCCCCCAGGAGGGAAGACUCUCAGAGAAAACAUGGAGAAGGCAGCGGCAAAGACCUUUUCUCCCGGUUUUAUUGUCAUUACAAUUGUUGUGACCAUUUUAAACAGUAGUUUAGAAACUGGGUUGUCGUCCAGUAGUUCUGUCAACCAGUUUGUUUGUUUGAAAUCCAUAAACACAGCUUUUAAAAAAAUUAUUAUUUUUUUUAUAUUGUGUCCUGAAGCAUUAACCACCAGCCUGUGAGUGUGUUUCAGUGGUACGUGCUGUGUACCCACGAAUAAGUGAACUGGAGACCCCUGGGUGUUUCUGUGUCCUCGGGGACAUUUGAGUAGGAUCAUGUGAGGCCCUGCUUGCAGAGGGGACCCUCCCUUCUGCUUCUGGAUUCACGCUUGGCUCCUGUAGGAUUUAUGCCGCUUAACCUCAUUGCAGGCUUGGCCAGGUGUGGGGACAGGGGAGGCCAGUGUGCGUUUACUGUCUGAUGUCGUCAUCUAAUCAGAGAGCAUGCGAGUAGCCACUUUGGUUUUGCUUUGUUUUAAAAAAAUAAUACUUUCUCUUGUACUUCUUCUUGGUGGAAACGGGCAGAACAUCUGGGAGGUAGGAAGUAGCUGGGAUUGUGGGGGAGAUGUUUUGGGUGGGUUCGUGGAGAGAUGGGGCUUGAAGUCGUGGUCGGCAUGGAAAUGAAUGAGGCAACGGUAUUGGUUUUAGGUCACUUAUGUGCGUGUAUCCUAACACCACUACAGUCAGGCCUCAGUUUUCCAUGUGAAGGGAGGGAACAACCUGAGUGUGUGUGUGUGUGUGUACAAGAGAGACGGAGAAAGACACAUGUGGGCUUAGACUCAGAUUUGCCUAGGACCACCUCUGACGGUCUAGGCGCUCACAACACAUCAUGUCCCGGGUGGCACUUCUGCGCACCUGCUCGGGGGAGUGUGUGGGCCUACGGGUGCCUCAGCUUGGGUCAGUGGGAAUUCUCUUGUCCUCCAGUUGUUUGACCGGAAUGAUGCAAAGACCAACCCAGGAGGAGCUGCUCAGUCUUCUUCUCGAUUGAGUUGUACUUUUUUAUUAUUGUAAUUUGUUUUGACAGCAGAAGUUUCUGAGCUGGGGAUCAAAUCCGCACCACAGCAAUGACAACGCCAGAUCCUUAACCCGCUGAGCCACCAGGGACCUCCUAAGUUGUGUUUGAAAGGCCCAUGGAGUGCCGGUUGUAGAGAGGAGGAAAAGUCCCAUGAUGAUUAGGAAAGCUUUUUUCUUGCCUCCUCUCUUAACUUGUGUCCCUUAGCUUGAAAAUUGAGUGUCUGUUUCUUUUCCGCAGAGACACUGAGUCUCAGGUUGGGAGCAGACUCCGGAGGGAGUCGAGCAUGCAGGCUGUUUAUUAGGUUGUACCUCUGGCAUCAACACUUGUGGGAGGAGGCCGUGGAAGCAGGAGGGGCAGAGGGAGAAGCUGAGCUCAAAGGCAGUGUCUGCCAAGCCCCAUGGGAAGCUUUGGAGCCAAAAUGGCCCGACAGGGUUGGCCCGUGUUGAAUUCACAUGGCUGGGCCUUGAGACCCUCAACGUGGUGAGCCACUGGGUGUGGACGCCCUGCGAAGACCAUGACCUUGGGCAAAGACAGCUCCAUGCCUUUGCUGAUGACCAAGGCCGUCUACCGAAAGCACUCCCGGUAGCUGGGGCUCCGAGCCUUUCCUUGAAGGAGGGCCUCGCUGGUACAUCUCUGUGGGUCCCCCCGCCCCCCCGAUGGAUCAGUUUUAAACAUCUGAAAAUUGUUAGGUGUAGACUAAGAAGUCAUAGAUCAAAUGGGACACGAGGAACCUGGAACGCAGGUCUCUGGAAAGGAUGGACCUGUACCCAGUGCCUUCAGAAGAUGCUCUUAAGUCUUCGGAGUUAACCCAGCAUGUUGUUCUGGCCUAUUUCUAAGCAUAGCUUUGUUAGUAGUUAGGAUAAAACUGUGGAGCCUUGUGUCUUUUCACCUUUUUGAGUUAAAUGUGUAUCAUUACAGGAGCUGUCUGUAUUUUAGGGCCUUCUGUCUUUAAAAGCUGUUACUCAGAGCUUGUUCAAAACUAACUGGAAUCUGUCAGCAGAUAGAAAGGGUUCUCUUCGGGAACUUGGGAAAUCAGAAUAAAAAACCCCAACCCAGUAGAAAUACUUAUUUGCCUUGUUCUCUGUGCACCAGUGUCCUACUAACCGGCUCUUCAGCAUCAUCCUUCUUUUAUUUUUAAAAAAAGAAAAACCGGAGUUCCCGUUAUGGCUCAGUGGAUAAUGAAUCCUACUAGGAACCAUGAGGUUGCGGGUUCUAUCCCUGGCCUCGCUCAGUGGGUGAAGGAUCUGGCAUUGCCGUGAGCUGUGGUGUGGGUCACAGGUGUGGCUCGGAUCCUGCGUUGCUGUGGCUGUGGUGUAGGCCGGCGGCUACAGCUCUGAUUAGACCCCUGGCCUGGGAACCUCCAUAUGCCUCAGGUGCAGCCCUAGAAAAGACAAAAAGACAAAAAACAAAACAAACAAAAAUAGUUCCAGACUUGAUAGUUUUAUUCUUUUAAAAAUUUCACACUGCAGGGGUAAUUUUCACUAUGAACUAAAUAAUUAAGAGGAAAAUGAAACAGGCGGAUUUCUCGGUGGGGACGGAGACCACGUAGAGGCACCCCCGUUCUGUGAGUUCAGUGGGAAAUAAGGGGCUUUUCUUUGGGGAUUCGCUUGCAUGCUCUCUCUGCCUUGUACAGUAGAACAAAGUAACCUCUCCUUCCAAGAGGUGUUUCUCUUUGUCACAUCAGCUCAGGCUCCAUUCUGAAUUCACUCUGGUUAAAAUUACAAGGAGUGGUAACGACCGUGGCUGGGACAGCUGCAAAGGUCAGAGCGGGCAACCCCUGGGCUCUGCAACCUGGAGGUCCUUCCAGAGCCUUCCCACGCCCGGAGCUCCCCCAGAGAUGGGGUGAGCACCCCAGCUUUUCCCCGUCUCAGGGGGAGGGGUGUCCUGCGUCUCAGGGAAGCAGAAGGGAGCAGAACGUGUAUCUUGAUCUUUGCGGGAUGGUAGCAUCUGGGUUUCACUUCGUAGAGCCUGCAGUGUGAUCUGGGUGAGGGACUCGGUCUGCGACUCGGGCAACUUAGUUAACGUCUCUGUCCGUCAGCUUGUUUUGAAAGCAGGAAAACUAGUGCCCACCCGACAGCGUUUUGGUGGGGGUUAAACGGGAUAAAACAUGUGACAGGCGCACUGCCCGGCAUUCUCAGAGCUGCCCCUCGUGCCUGUCAGCGUGGUGCCUCGUGCUUUGCAGGUGGUCAGUGAAGGUUUGUUGAAUUGAGAUUCUGCAGGUUCUCACAGAGCCACUGGGCCUCCCCACUGUCCCCCUCACUCCAUCGGGCAGAGGGAGACGGGCUGAGGGCGGGGUGGACACCGGUUGAUGUCACUUUGUCAUUGGAAGCAAGUAUGGGGAUUGAAUCCCGAUCCCUUUUCGCGUUGAAACUGGCUGGGAAUCUAACACCCUUCUCGAGUGUUGACUGUCUCACUUAGGAUUUGGAAGCGCCAGCAAAUGCCUCUGAUGUUCCUGUCCACGCUCUCCACUGAAAGGUCACUGUCAGCCCCUCUCAGCGGCCAGGCUGUCUUUGCUCUCGGGGAGAGCACUUAAUUGACUGCCCAAGCUGACGAAUGUGUUUCGUCCGUCCUGUGGAAAUAGGUGCUUCCCGCGAUUUUCCGAGACCAUCAAGUCGAACCCCCACCUAUCCGGGGUUUAGUAUUUCUUCCUUCGGUAUCUGAAAAUUGUUCAGUCUGUAGAGUAAGAAAGCAUAGGUCAAACUAGGUGGCCCAGGUUUGUUUGCCCAGGUGUCUGCCGUGCCUUUAUUGCAACUUUGGGGCGUGAGAAAGGGGGAAGGCCUAUUAAAAAGAGAACAGUGGUUAAGAACAAAGGCUUUGGAAUUGGAGAGGGGACCCCCCCCCCCAUUUUCCAGCUGUGGAACCAAGAACAAUUUUCCUAAUCUUUCCAAGCUCCGUCCCCCCAUCUACAGAGCCGGGAUGGUAACACCUACCUGACGGGCCGGGAGGAUUCAACUGAAUAGGAUCUCGCCUCAGGCCCUCGACGGCCCCAAGCUGAAGUCCCCGGCCCAGGGCGGCCCUGUGGCCCAGCCGCGCUCCGAUGCCCCCCGAGCGCAGUUCCGUUUUUCAUCCCCAGUGAUGACAGGCGUGCUGCCUGAAGAAAUGUUUGAACUCGCCUCCUUGACCGUUCCGUUUCUGCAGGUGAUGCCGCACACCUGUGAUACGGCUGCUCUCAGGGUAUAAAUCUCCCCAGCGCACAGAAUGUUCCUUUUCACCACGCGCCGUGCAGCCCCAGCAUUAGUCACUGAUCUUGGAGCCUUCUGGUUUUGAUUGGCCGAGUCAGGGUUCACCGAGGCACAUUCCUCCCCGAGAUCGCACCAUAUGGUCCGGAAAAGGGAGUGUUUGCGAGCCGCGCGGGCGGCCGCGGAGACACGCGGCCCGGAGCCGGCGCAUGGUGCCGUUUUCGGCCCCUCCCGGCGGACAGCCGCGCAGGAUGAUUAAUCUUUUAGCAUCUUUGUUCUUUCUGUUUCGUUAUAACACUAGCGCUGUUUAAAUCACUCUGGAAAUAACACGCCUGACAUUUCUACAGUUCAAAAAAAAAAA
Non-coding RNA from Sus scrofa (pig), 9181 nucleotides. NCBI's taxonomy places the organism in Eukaryota, Metazoa, Chordata, Mammalia, Artiodactyla, Suidae. The record is from RefSeq and is a predicted model, not a curated record.